CAAUACGGAAUAGCGCCAGGUCUGUUUUAACAGAUGACGAGGAAAGGGUUGAUCGAAGGAUUCGGCGGAUGGCCCUAGGGACUGCAUCCUAAAAAGAAACAUAAAAACUAUCUGUGAAGGUAGAACAAAAGGUUUCUUACGCAGUUGG
Molecule: non-coding RNA, 148 nt
Organism: Enterococcus mundtii
Lineage: Bacteria; Bacillati; Bacillota; Bacilli; Lactobacillales; Enterococcaceae
Source: Rfam